Molecule: transfer RNA, 75 nt
Filed under: Janibacter terrae
Lineage: Bacteria; Bacillati; Actinomycetota; Actinomycetes; Micrococcales; Intrasporangiaceae
Also listed under: 2 other names
Description: tRNA-Leu
Rfam family: tRNA
About the family: Transfer RNA (tRNA) molecules are approximately 80 nucleotides in length. Their secondary structure includes four short double-helical elements and three loops (D, anti-codon, and T loops).
Source: RNAcentral
GCCCCCGUAGCCCAACUGGCAGAGGCACGCCACUUAAAAUGGUGCACGGUGCGGGUUCGAGUCCCGCCGGGGGUA